This 561-nucleotide non-coding RNA is filed under the name Cephalotus follicularis. RNAcentral's name for it is "Eukaryotic small subunit ribosomal RNA". It matches the Rfam family "Eukaryotic small subunit ribosomal RNA", at positions 4 to 565 of the family's 1831-position model. The record is from Rfam by way of RNAcentral. Lineage: Eukaryota; Viridiplantae; Streptophyta; Magnoliopsida; Oxalidales; Cephalotaceae.
UUGGCUUGAUCCUGCCAGUAUUCAUAUGCUUGUCUCAACGAUUAGGCCAUGCAUGUCUAAGUAUGAACUAAUUCAGACUCUGAAACUGCGAAUGGCUCAUUAAAUCAGUUAUAGUUUGUUUGAUGGCAUCUGCUACUCGGAUAACUGCAUUAAUUCUAGAGCUAAUACAUUUAACCAACCCCGACUUCUGGAAGGAAUGCAUUUAUUAAAUAAAAGGUAAACGCAGGCUCUGCCCAGUGCUUCGAUGAUUCAUGAUAACUCAACGGAUUGUACGACCAUCGUGCCGAUGACGCAUCAUUCAAAUUUGUACCCUAUCAACUUUUGAUGAUAGGAUAGUGGCUUACCAUGAUGGUGACAGGUGAUGAAGAAUUAGGGUUCAAUUCCGGAGAGGGAGCCUGAGAAACGGCUACGACAUAUAAGGAAGGCAGCAGGUGCAAAUUACCCACUCCUAACACGGGGAGGUAGUGACAAUAAAAAAAAAUACCGGGCUCUACACAGAUCUUUAAGGAUAGGGAUUUCAACCUCAAGCAAAGAUGGAUGGAGAUGAUUAAGGACUAUGAU